CGUGUAGGCGGUUUUGUAAGUCUGAUGUGAAAGCCCUGGGCUCAACCUGGGAAGUGCAUUGGAUACUGCAAGACUUGAGUACGGGAGAGGGAAGUGGAAUUCCUAGUGUAGGAGUGAAAUCCGUAGAUAUUAGGAGGAACACCGGUGGCGAAGGCGGCUUCCUGGACCGAUACUGACGCUGAGACGCGAAAGCGUGGGGAGCAAACA
Molecule: ribosomal RNA, 207 nt
Filed under: uncultured delta proteobacterium
Lineage: Bacteria; Deltaproteobacteria
Description: partial 16S ribosomal RNA
Rfam family: Bacterial small subunit ribosomal RNA
Source: RNAcentral